UCUCCUUGGCUUACUGUUCUGAUCCUUGGAGGUGUGUGUGUGCAAGUGUACGUUUAGGCCUUGAGAAAGAAAGCAGUAGCUGGAAAGAUGCGCGCAGAGAGAGAAUGAGAAAGCGAAAGAGAGAGAAGCGGAGAGAAGCGGAGAGAGAGCGGGCAGCGGAGCGCGGCUUGGCCGGGAGAGGAGCACCGGAGAGCGGCUACGGCUGACAGGAUUCCCCGUUGCACUGGUGGAGGAUGUUUAAUGGAUGCUCCGUGCUGACGGUCACUAGAGUCUCGAUAAGACCCGGAUGCAGAAACGGUGCUGCAGCUGAUUUACCUGCAACAGGUGGUGAGCGCGCGGCUUUUACUAAAAUACCUCAUCAUGGCUUUUAUCCGAGCGCCAUUUGGUACUUGUUUUAAAGAAAAGAAACAAAGUAAAAGAGAAGAAGUCUAUUUGUGUGAUGUGUGGUGAGAUUUUAAAGGCCUUGUGAUCAUGGCUGAAAUUUUGCGCAAAAUGUUAGGUGCAAUGUUUGAAAAGUUGUGGAUGCUAUUAGGGGGCGGGGCUUAGCGGAUUCGCGUUUUAAUACCGUUUCAUGCCUCCUUUUUUCUUUUUUUGCGUGAUCCUUUUUAUAUGUUAAGAUGUAAACACAGCUUUGCGUUUGUCCACUUUUCUCAAAGGUGGAUUUAUUUAGCAUGCGAAAAAAAUGUAGUGUGAAUUUUUUUUUUUUUAUGAAUUUUUAAUGUUAUUUACAAGUCUUUAAAAAUCAUUAGAUCACAUAUUUAUUAUUGGUUGUAUUCAAAGAAAAUAUAUAAGUUAAUAGUUUGUUACCUUUAUUUUAUUACUGCACUAAAUUGGGUUAAAAUAGGACAAAUUAUUAUUAUUAUUAUUAUUAUUAUUAUUAUUAUUAUUAUUAUUAUUAUUAUAGCUCUAAUUCUUGCUUUUGUUUUUUCUCUUUUAAAAUCAUUUAGCAAAUUGUUUAAUAUUUUGCUUUUGUUGUUUAGUAAUAGGCUAUUGUUGUUUGCUGUUUCUGAGAGCUUGGUGUGUGUGUGUGUGU
This is a long non-coding RNA of Ictalurus furcatus (blue catfish), 1033 nucleotides long. RefSeq lists it as uncharacterized. The record is from RefSeq and is a predicted model, not a curated record. NCBI's taxonomy places the organism in Eukaryota, Metazoa, Chordata, Actinopteri, Siluriformes, Ictaluridae. The transcript is spliced from 3 exons.